RNAcentral lists this long non-coding RNA (1572 nucleotides) under Elaeis guineensis (African oil palm). RNAcentral's name for it is "long non-coding RNA (EGUI_LNC003814)". The record is from RNAcentral. Lineage: Eukaryota; Viridiplantae; Streptophyta; Magnoliopsida; Arecales; Arecaceae.
GAUUUUUCGCAUUUGCCAAGGCCCUUUUUAUUACCUCAUUAAUGGCACCACCGCACCUUUUCAGUGUGCUAGGUUGAGGUUGAUGGCUUCUAGGUCCCCAGAUCCAUGAGGUUGCUCGGAGCAGCAUACGUAAUCAGAGUUUACUUAUCAAUUGAAAUCUUGUCUCGUAUAGCUAGGUAAAAUCUUUUAGCUCCACCCUUAUCCUCCCUUUCCUUAUAACUCUUUAGCCGUAUCCUUCGUGAUUUUGAUGAUCAAGAUAAAUCUAGAAUCCAUGGUGAAGCAGAGCGAACAUAAAUCGGAGCAACAUGACUGCCUUAAUCAGUCCAUCUAUCCUCAGGUUCACAUCUCUAAUUUUUCCAAUUAUCUAGGAAUUUUGAAUCUCAGUCCCACGGGCAAAGAAUUUAAUGCUCAUACCAUUGCCAACACUCCCUUGUCAUCGUCAUUUGGGAUAGCUAGGUUUAUUGCAAUAUGAGUACCCUUGCGAGCAAAAAUCACACAUGAAUCAAUCAAAUCGGUAAAAAUCGAAUCAAACUGCAAGUUUGAUUUGAUUUAAAAUUUUACUCGAUUUGAUUUGAUUGAUUUUUAACAUAUAAUAAACAUGUUUGGAUUGAUUCAAAUUUGUUAGUAAAUAAAAUCGCUCACAAAUCGAAUCGAAUCGAUUUUAAUAAAACGAUGUUAUUUUGGAUCGGAUAUUAUUUAUGUUGAAGUAUUAAUAUAUUAAAAAAUAAUUUUAGAUUUAUGAUGUUUUUUAUCAAUUUGAUUUUGCAUUGAUUAACCUUAAAUCCUAAGCGACUUAUUAGAUUGUUUUUUUUUUUGUAAUGUAUUGAAAAUCUUUAUUUCAAUCUUUAAUAAUGGUGUUGGUUUAAAAAUUUUAUUUUAUUGAGUGAUAAUAUCUUAUGUCAAUUUAAAUCAUUUUAUUUGAUAAAUUUUUUUGAUGGUAUUUUUAUGUGAAAAGAAAAUAAGUCUUUAUGAAUCACAAAAGAAAAAAAAAAUGAUAAACCAAACCAAAUCAGACCGUUUAAAUCAUGUUAGUUUGGUUUAAUUUGAUUUUAAUCUUCUACUGAUUCGAUUUGAUUUCUAGAAAUACUAAACCAUUUAGGACCAGCUCAGUUUAGGUUUAAAUAUAAAAUCGUCCAAAUCGAACCAUGCUCGUCUCUAUUUGGGAUAGCUAUGUUUUUUGCAGUGUGAGUACUCAAGAACUUGCUGGCAUCUUUUUUUAUUACAGAGUCUGAAAAUUUCAAAUCCACCCACAACUGUGCGAGGCCUUUGGGAUGCAUGGAAGAAUGAGAAAGAUAAGAGGAAUCUUUCACCACACCUGGAAUGUUUAGUUGCCACUAUCCGCUGGUCUUUAUGGAAAGAAAGAAAUAAGCGGGUGUUUCAAUUCGAAGCCAUCUCCAUAGAGAAACCUCGUCGAGCAUUUGGAAAACUUGUAGCAAUUAUUUUUUUAUUAUUUUUAUUAUUUUUUAUUUAAGGUAAAAGAUAGAAGUAUUUGAUAAUAAUAAGAGCAAAGUGCGGUUGCUGGACAAUUACGGUUUUUAUUGCAAACCGAGUGAUUUGGGUUCGGUGUGCGGG